Long non-coding RNA from Harpia harpyja (harpy eagle), 3198 nucleotides. RefSeq lists it as uncharacterized. The transcript is spliced from 3 exons. NCBI's taxonomy places the organism in Eukaryota, Metazoa, Chordata, Aves, Accipitriformes, Accipitridae. The record is from RefSeq and is a predicted model, not a curated record.
CAAAAGGAGAUGCCAGGCAGGUCCUGUGGUGGUGGGAGGGAGGGAUCCUGGUGAGGCAGAGGGAGAACAGUGGGAAAGGAGGCAUGCAGGGCCCCAGGGUGCAGGAGACUAGGAAGACCCUGAGCAAGAAUGGUAUGGGAACCUGCAAUCAGUGGGAGUCCCUCAUUUACUCACUGAAACGUACUUUCCCUCCUUCUCAGAAGAGGCUCAGAAGUGGUGCUAGCAGUUCAGAACUGUCCAGCUGCCAUGCCUUUUCCACUGGAAACUUUUCCCAGUUUCCUGGGACCGUCCUCUGUCUCCCUUUUCCCUCUCUGGCACAUAGUCUUUGCAUUGUUAAAUAUUGAGGCAUUGUCAUUCCGCAAGGUUCUCUGCCACUUUAAUUUCUUUGGCCUUAUGUGUUGUUUUCUCUUCAGUGCUUGCUUUCAACCUCUUGGGACCCAGGGGGAGAGAGGAGUGGGGGGAGACUGAUGUAAAUUAACUAUCAUCUACUGUAAAUCAGUGUAAUUCCACUGACUACAAUGAAGCUGCACUGAAUUACUGUAGCUGAAAACCUGCUUUGUCACGUCUCCUUCUUCUGUGUAUUUUAUAUUGCCUGUUGUGGAAAAAAAAACCCAACAGAAAAGCACUCCACCAAAACUCAAGUUCUUUCUGUUUUGCUCUCCUAAGAGGUGCAGCUGUAUGCUAAUAGUCUACUUCUCUAGCGGGAAAUAGAAAGGGCUAUAGCAUGCUUUGAUAAACCGGGAAGCAGACUCUGACGCUAGUGUGCAAGGAGAGAAACAUACGGAGCUUUUUUCCCCCUCUUCUCUCCCUCACAUCAAUUUCACACUCUUUUAGUUCUGUUGACCUCCAUGGAGUCCCUCCUAAUUUACAGCGCCAUAAACAAAAUCAGAACGAUGCCCUCUGAAAUGUGCAGAAUUCUUUUCGGCUUGCACUGAAGAACACGGCGUAUUCCAGGGAUUUGCAAAGGCAUCUCUCUACUUGUGCUGAGGAAGAUUUUUUCCUGGCCACCUCACAUGCCUGUGGUGACUUCCCUUGAAGAGGGCUCUCUGAGCAGGACACCUCUCUCACCGGAGGCACCCUGCCAGGAAAGCUCCAGGUGAAACUGAUACCAUCUUGGGACAGUGGUGAUCCCUAAAUAAGGGGAUCACACUAGUAAUCCUAACAAACGCAUUUACCACUUGAGUUGUUAGAUUGUGAAAGGGUGGUAAUUAAAAAAGGAAAUGUUUCGGUAAGUAGGCUUAGACUUCUUUAAAAGGUCUUUGCUUCCCCUUCUUCCAAGUUGUGCAUGUGGAAAAUUUUGCUGCCCUCUCCCUGUCUCUGCACCUCUAUAGCAAUAUUCAUUUGGGACAGGGAAGACACGCUGCUGUCAAACUGCUCACUCUAAUUUCAUUUCCCAGCACGUGGAGUCUUCCUUUGUGAGAGUGACACCAAGACUGCUGCUGAUGUUAUGGGGUACUUCACUCCAACAGCUGAGAAACAGGCUGCGUGCACUUUGACAGCCAGUUGACAGCAGCAUAAGAGUGGCUGUGCGGUCUGCUCGAGGAGAGGACUGAUCCGGUUGAAAAGCCAUCACCAUUUUUUUGGUAGAAGUAGUGUCGGGCUGGAUUACCUCCUUGCUCCAGGUGACCUUUCUGCCACAUGCACUAGCGGAAGGGAGGCAACACAGGCACUGGGCUAAGGGCAGGACCCUCCACCUCUUUUGGUGGCUGUCUGCAUUUUAGGUCAGCUUAGUCUAAGAGCCAAAAUAUGCUGUGAGGAGAAAGCGGUUAAAGAUUCGACAAAAUUUGGUCAAUGCUUUGACUGAAGGCUGAAGAACCUGACAGCAUGAUGCUUCUUAGACCUCUGAAAGUCCUGCUGGCAUGGCAGUGGGUUGGACCAUCCUGACACUUGGGUAAAAAAAGACCCAACCCACAAGAAAAGGAAAGGCUCUUUCAUGUCUCUAACCUGCAGCAAAAAUGGGCAAGAAAAUCCAUUUCUCUCCUGUAAGUAUAUCUCUAUAUAUUUGCUUCAAAAUUCAAAUUCUCAUCCAAAAGCUCAUCAUAGGGCGGUGCUGGUUGGGAGUCCUCCUGCCUUCUGCCCAAGACCUCCAUGUUGCACUUGAAGAGUAGUCUGCCUUUCCAACUCGUCUGUGCUCAGCCUGCUCCCCGGCCCUGCAUGGUGAACUGCAGUUCAGGUCUGCCGGGUUGGAGCUGGCGGGAUGCAUCCGCCACACCUGCCUCGCAGCAGCAGUGGAGCAUCUGGAUGAAAGAUGAGUUUCAGAUUUCACAGGCGUUCUUGGGCCCAAGAUAAAGUGGCACAGCCAUCCAUCAUAUGGAUGAGUGCAGACUGAGCAAAGAAAGACCUGGACCAAAACAGUUUUCUAGGUGUUUAGUGAGGAGGUAAAAGUCGUUCUCUCUCUGUAGGGCAGAGGAGCUCAUGGAUGCGAUUACCAGUGGUGGGUGCGUGGCAGCAUGUAAGCCCAGUCUGGGCAGGCAGGCAUGCUGCAGUGUGGAAGAGGAUCAGCCUGCUAGUGAGCCUGCAGGUUGCAUCCCAGGAUGUGCAAGUGGCCAUUGAGGUGCCUGGUGGAGCACUCACCCAUGUACCUACAUGAUGUGAAAGAGGUAUCGCUUUGUUUUGUGUGUGCACACCUCCAUCUGGAAAUAGAAGCCAAGAGGAAAAAAAAAAAGGAAGAAAUAAAGUGUUAUGAGGUUUCUGGUUAGUCUGGCCCAGCACUGAAUUUAAAAGCAUGGUGAAAUAUUCAUUAUUUGUGGGCAGUAAUAGUUAUAUCAUGCAUUAACAGGGAAAAGAGGAAAAAAGUUACUCUUGGACACUGUUGAAAACAGGCUGACAUCCCUAUGAUAUUGUCUGUGGGUCUUGCAUCUCCCAGGUGCUGUUCGUCCACUGCAAUGAUUCCCAUGGAGCUGGAUUCCCUUUGGAGCCAGGCCAAUUCAUACCAAGUUCUUCUUACCGCUCCUGUAACUUGCAGAUCUAAGGCUUCAUUUAUAGCGAACGUGCCACAUGAAAGGCAGCGUGUCAGUGGUGGUGGUUGUUCUUUUGGCUCCGAUGACGGAGAUUACUUUGCUACUGGGGAAGUUCAAGGGCAGUUGCUCACACUCGCUUGCACGGCCUGGGCUGACCCAGGGCAGACCCACUUCGUAUCUCUGAAGCUAUGGCAGAUGCUCCUUGCUCUGGAGUUCAUUCAUGCUUUGCAAAAAGGCC